RNAcentral lists this ribosomal RNA (511 nucleotides) under uncultured bacterium. RNAcentral's name for it is "bacterial LSU rRNA". It matches the Rfam family "Bacterial large subunit ribosomal RNA", at positions 18 to 482 of the family's 2925-position model. The record is from RNAcentral.
CAUACGGUGGAUGCCUUGGUACGAGAAGGCGAUGAAGGACGCGACUACCUGCGAUAAGCCAUGGAGAGGUGGAAAUAACCUUGGACCCAUGGAUUUCCGAAUGGGGCAACCCCCUCAGAGUAAUGUCUGAGGAGCCAUAUUUGAAUACAUAGAAUAUGAGCGGCAAACCCAGGGAACUGAAACAUCUAAGUACCUGGUGGAUAAUAAAGCAAAUGCGAUUUCCUUAGUAGUGGCGAGCGAAACGGAAACAGUCUAAACCAGUCUACGCUAUACGGGCGGCAACCUUGCGUAGACGGUGUCGUGGGGCCUUUCAGAGUCGAUUGCCGGAGACUCGAGGAGUCAAAAACCAUAUUGUGAAUUGAAUUCUUCUGGAAAGAUGAACCAUAGAAGGUGAUAGUCCUGUAAGUGAAGCAAUGUGGCUCCUUGGAAAGGUACCCCAAGUACUACGGAGUAAGUGGAAGUCCGUAGGAAUCUGGGAGAACCAUCUCCUAAGACUAAAUACUCUCUCGUA